This is a long non-coding RNA of Triticum aestivum (bread wheat), 1352 nucleotides long. RefSeq lists it as uncharacterized. The transcript has 3 exons. Lineage: Eukaryota; Viridiplantae; Streptophyta; Magnoliopsida; Poales; Poaceae. The record is from RefSeq and is a predicted model, not a curated record.
CCCGCCCACAGCUGCCCCGACCCGCCAACUGCCCCGACCAGUACUGCGGCACCGCCGCCCCCACGCCCCCGCCGCCUCCCCCGUUCCGGCCCUCGCGCUCCGUAGUCUUCAGUCUUCACCGGCGGCGACGAGCCCUUCCGCCCCCACCAUCUCCGUCCCGUUCGAGAGCUGAUUCAUGCCGGUGCCGGCUCACGCCGCCCGGCCGCCCGGUCCUCCCCGGCGCAAGGCCCCUGCUGCGGCGAGCCGCCUCCACCAGGUUACUGUCUUACAUCAUACUUAUAUUGGUGCCAACGGCUGUUCAGAGCAUAUUAUUUAGUCUUCCGGCUUUGGUGUCUGGUGUGCUCUAGCCUGGAGGAUUGUUGUUCUCAGCUAGGGGAGGCUGCUUGUGAUCAUCUUGUGUCUGGUAUGCCGCUUCUCUCAUAUUCUCCUGAACUUACUUUGCAUGUACAGUAUUUAAUUGUGAUGGUUCUAUGUUGCUUUGGCGAGACUCUAAUUAUGCGUGGUGUGAUCUCUCAUUUUUACUAGUCUCUGAUGCAUACCUACCUUUUACCCUGUGUUUAUUAUGCGUGAUAUUUUCUAAUUCUUUGAGAUAAAUAUAUGAUGUAUUUACCUGUGCAUGUAGAAUUGUGUCCGUUCUGCACUUGUCUUUUGCCAGUGACAACAGUUUAUCCUUACCUUCCUCUUCACCUCAAGACUAUAUAUUUUUAUUAUAUACCUAAUUGCCUCAAAAUACCCCAUCUCCUUAUCCUCGCAUGAACAAUAUUUAUCGGAUUUUUUAUAUAUUUUCAGUCGUGUUUCCGGUGAUGUCUUGUUGUAGGUUUGAUCUUCCUGCAACUACUACAAAUAGCUACUGGGAACAAGUAGUGUGUGUGUACUGAUCCAAGCUCAAUUUUGUUGGAACAUAAGCUAUUUCACAUGCACGUUUUACUUUUACUUCUGAAACCAAAAUGCAGUUACAGUUAAACUACUACUGUAACCAGGUAUCCCCCCUGAAAGUUUGGCUAUCUUGUAGUACUGAACCUUCAGCUUUGAAUAAAUCUGGGCAAAUGCCUUUUAUCUAAAAAAAGGAUUCAAACAAACUACUACUAUUAAUAUCAUAGCGAAGAAGUUUCAGUAGCCAAGACAUGAAGCGGAGAGUUUUUUUUUUAGAGUAGAUGGAGCUUCUUUCUUUUAAUUCAAACAAACUACUACUAUUGAUUGUUGUGGUUCCUCAACAAGUUAUCUCUCAUUUAGAGUAGAUGGAGCUUCUUUCUUUUUCAUCUCGAUUAAUAAGUGGCUAAUCAUUUGCUAUCACUUGGCAAAAAUGAAAAGAAAGGAAAGAACCGUUGUUUGUAGGCAAUGUGAUGUGAUUU